Lizanozyma spartinae is the source of this 71-nucleotide non-coding RNA. The record is from the annotation of a RefSeq genome assembly. NCBI's taxonomy places the organism in Eukaryota, Fungi, Ascomycota, Pichiomycetes, Serinales, Debaryomycetaceae.
GACUACAUGAUCUAAAGGUAUGAUGUUACUACUUCACAGUAAAUAUACGGGUUCAAUUCCCGUUGUGGUUA